RNAcentral lists this ribosomal RNA (420 nucleotides) under Triticum aestivum (bread wheat). RNAcentral describes it as "partial small subunit ribosomal RNA". The record is from RNAcentral. Lineage: Eukaryota; Viridiplantae; Streptophyta; Magnoliopsida; Poales; Poaceae.
AUGUCGCUGAUCGCGGGUGAGGAGUUCCAGCACAUCCUGCGUGUGCUCAACACCAACGUCGACGGUAAGCAGAAGAUCAUGUUCGCGCUCACCUCCAUCAAGGGUGUGGGCCGCCGCUUCUCCAACAUCGUCUGCAAGAAGGCCGACAUCGACAUGAACAAGAGGGCUGGAGAGCUUUCCGCGGAGGAGAUGGACCGUCUGAUGGCGGUGGUGCACAACCCACGCCAGUUCAAGGUGCCGGACUGGUUCCUCAACAGGAAGAAGGACUACAAGGACGGCAGGUUCUCCCAGCCUCCCAGGUCGUCUCCAACGCCGAACCAUCGUGGUCUGCGUCACUACUGGGGCGUGCGUGUCCGUGGUCAGCACACCAAGACUACCGGCAGGAGAGGAAAGACUGUUGGUGUCUCCAAGAAACGAUAA